UAAUACGUAGGGAGCAAGCGUUGUUCGGAAUCAUUGGGCAUAAAGAGCGCGUAGGUGGUUUGUUAAGUCUGGUGUGAAAGCCCACAGCUCAACUGUGGAACUGCAUCAGAAACUGGCAAACUUGAGUGUGGGGGAGGAGAGUGGAAUUCCCAGUGUAGAGGUGAAAUUCGUAGAUAUUGGGAGGAACACCGGUGGCGAAGGCGGCUCUCUGGACCACAACUGACACUGAGGCGCGAAAGCUAGGGGAGCGAACGGGAUUAGAUACCCCGGUAGUCCUAGCCGUAAACGAUGGGCACUAGGUGUGGGGGGUAUUGACCCCUUCCGUGCCGCAGCUAACGCAUUAAUUGCCCCGCCUGGGGAGUACGGUCGCAAGACUA
RNAcentral lists this ribosomal RNA (377 nucleotides) under uncultured delta proteobacterium. Its description in RNAcentral is "bacterial SSU rRNA". It matches the Rfam family "Bacterial small subunit ribosomal RNA", at positions 521 to 896 of the family's 1533-position model. Lineage: Bacteria; Deltaproteobacteria. The record is from RNAcentral.